GCUCAGUUGGUAGAGCGCACCCUUGGUAAGGGUGAGGUCCCCAGUUCGACUCUGGGUAUCAGCACCA
RNAcentral lists this transfer RNA (67 nucleotides) under Citrobacter freundii. RNAcentral's name for it is "tRNA-Thr". It matches the Rfam family "tRNA", at positions 10 to 71 of the family's 71-position model. Rfam says of the family: Transfer RNA (tRNA) molecules are approximately 80 nucleotides in length. RNAcentral also lists the same sequence under 10 other names. The record is from RNAcentral. Lineage: Bacteria; Pseudomonadati; Pseudomonadota; Gammaproteobacteria; Enterobacterales; Enterobacteriaceae.